CAGCCGCCGCGGUAAUACGUAGGGUGCGAGCGUUAAUCGGAAUUACUGGGCGUAAAGCGUGCGCAGGCGGUUAUAUAAGACAGAUGUGAAAUCCCCGGGCUCAACCUGGGACCUGCAUUUGUGACUGUAUAGCUAGAGUACGGUAGAGGGGGAUGGAAUUCCGCGUGUAGCAGUGAAAUGCGUAGAUAUGCGGAGGAACACCGAUGGCGAAGGCAAUCCCCUGGACCUGUACUGACGCUCAUGCACGAAAGCGUGGGGAGCAAACAGGAUUAGAUACCCCUGUAGUCCCUGUCUCUUAUAC
RNAcentral lists this ribosomal RNA (301 nucleotides) under uncultured bacterium. RNAcentral describes it as "partial 16S ribosomal RNA". It matches the Rfam family "Bacterial small subunit ribosomal RNA", at positions 509 to 807 of the family's 1533-position model. The record is from RNAcentral.